CAGCAGCCACGGUAAUACGGAGGAUCCAAGCGUUAUCCGGAAUCAUUGGGUUUAAAGGGUCCGUAGGCGGUCUUGUAAGUCAGUGGUGAAAGCCCAUCGCUCAACGGUGGAACGGCCAUUGAUACUGCAGGACUUGAAUUAUUGGGAAGUAACUAGAAUAUGUAGUGUAGCGGUGAAAUGCUUAGAGAUUACAUGGAAUACCAAUUGCGAAGGCAGGUUACUACCAAUUGAUUGACGCUGAUGGACGAAAGCGUGGGUAGCGAACAGGAUUAGAUACCCCGUAGUCCCUGUCUCUUAUACA
This 301-nucleotide ribosomal RNA is filed under the name uncultured bacterium. RNAcentral describes it as "partial 16S ribosomal RNA". It matches the Rfam family "Bacterial small subunit ribosomal RNA", at positions 509 to 808 of the family's 1533-position model. The record is from RNAcentral.